This 614-nucleotide long non-coding RNA is filed under the name Heterocephalus glaber (naked mole-rat). RNAcentral describes it as "lncRNA (ENSHGLG00000032968.1)". The record is from RNAcentral. Lineage: Eukaryota; Metazoa; Chordata; Mammalia; Rodentia; Bathyergidae.
CUGUCAGACCGCAGCUGGACUGCUUCACCAAAGCUGAGUCACACUGCUCUGCUCCCAGUGACUGCUUCCAAACAAUUAAACCAGAGAGGCACCUGUGUAAAUAUGUAAUCUCUGGUGAUAAGAAAAUGAUUAGGCAGCAGAACUUGAGCUGAACUGGUGAAAAUCUUGUGCUUCCCUCUGGGGGCAUUUUACACGUGCUGUUGAGCGGUUCCCAUCUCAAGAACAAGGUCAAGUUCUUCCUCCCUCUCCUCACCUUGUUUGUUUGGAAAAUUCAGCUAAUCAGUUCUCACGAGAUUUGGUCUGCUGGCAGACAUUGAACUUUUACUCUAAAGGAGUCAUCUCUUGGGUGAGCUGAAAGAAAAGAAGCUAAAGUUGAAACCAGGUGCGCUUCCCUGACCUUUCUGUGAGGGACGGGGCGGGUCCCAGACCCCCAAGCCCUGGCUUCGCUUGAUGACUCACUGCCAGCCAGCGGCCCCUGUACUGGGAAGGAGCUGAGUGAGUCUCCCCAGCCUGCCUGUUCUCUGCCACCUCGAAGUAGCUGCACUGGAAGAGCUAUGACAGCAGCCUCCUGCGGGCCUAUGGUUCGGGACAGACAGGGGUGACUGGGCGCCCCC